GGGCCACCCGGCUUCCCCGUCCUGCGGGAGGCUCAAGGAGGACAGCAGGUACAUCUUCUUCAUGGAGCCGGAGACGAACAGCAGCAGCAGCAGCCGCGCACCGGCCGCCUUCCGAGCCUCUUCCGGAACCUCAAGAAAGGGGUAGGCCGAUGCUGUGGAAGCGGUGUGACAAACAGCAGGACCGUGGUCAGCAGGAUGACGAUGCAGAGGAGGGUGGCCGCAGUGGCGCCUGUGCCCAGACCAGCCACUGCCUCUGCACCAAUGACGGUGCAGUCCCCGUUCUCGUCACACGGGCACACCUGGACCUUGAUGAUGGACAGGUUGGACAGCGGGGGUUCCCAGAGUCUGUGACGAUGAUGAGGACGUCGUACAUCCCGGGUCCAGGUACAGGACGUGCAAGCUGAGCUGAGCGUAGUCACCGUUCGGGCGUGUGAUGGUCCAGUUCUUGCGCACGGCGGCCGGGACUAAAGGCAGCUCAAAGACGUAGGGUCUGAUGUUGGGGUCGGCGUCGGCGGCCGUGAUGUUGAUGGCAUUCAGGUUGGGCUUUGCGCAGAUCUGCGCCUCCUUGGGCAGCAGCUCUGGGGCGUUGUCAUUGAUGUCGAUGAGAUAGAACUGCAGGGUCCCGGUGCCGCUGGCUGCAGGGAUCCCAUUGUCAGCUGCCAGGAAGGCGGCCUCGUAGACGUUGUUGCUGAUGUACAGGGACUCGCGGUCCAGCACGGCGGCCGUGCUGAUGUGCAGCCAGUUUGCCGGGUCUGACAGCCCCGAGUAUCUCACUGCCUGCUGCAUGACGCGGUCGGGGUCCACGGCGGGAAAGGUGGUGAGCACGGUGCCGGGGGCACGCCCUCCUCCAGGCGGAUCAGCUGGUGGUUGGAGGGGAAGUAGGGCGCCUCGUCGAUGUCCAUGACAGAGAUGGUCACCCCCGCCGUGGACUGGAAGGGCAUCCAGGGAUCUAUAUUCAGUAAGUAAAAAGACUCCUAUAUUUACUCUAAUUCAGCAUAACUUCUAUAUAAAGCUGGCUGACGGUGUUAUAAUGUUGCUGAAAUUUGGCUAGAUAUAGAGAAUAGAAUUUAUUGAUUUGAAAUUAUAAUUAUUGAAAGAAAAUAUAAUUGAUGAUAUAGGUAUAAAAAAUCGUCAUUUGAAAUUUGGUUUAUGUAGCAACACACACAGAGACACACACACACAGUCUCACCUAAAUUUCUGAGUAUGGCUGAAGACUAAUGAUUUCUGGUCUAAAGGAAACGAUAUUGUUAGUUAUUUCUCCUCUAUGGGAAAUCAUGGGGAUGUAGGCAAGUUACAAAAGCCUCUGUCUUGGCUAUGAUUUCCAAAAAAAGAGGGGGUUGGAGGAGAUUAACUCUAGAAUUCUUUCUGAGUCUAAAACUUCUUCCUUUUCUAGAACUCAUUGUUUCAAUCAUUCUUGCCAUUCUGCAUUUUUAAUACAAUUCAUUUUAAUUGAACCCUAAGUAAAAACAAUAUCAGAAUAUUUAUUUCUCACAUUUCUCAAAUACAGUUUUAAUGAGGAUCUCUGAAGAAUCAAUGUAGGGUUUAGGGAAUAAAGAAGAAAAAAAUAGAAACA
Molecule: long non-coding RNA, 1573 nt
Organism: Oryctolagus cuniculus (rabbit)
Lineage: Eukaryota; Metazoa; Chordata; Mammalia; Lagomorpha; Leporidae
Source: Ensembl